GUUUCAUAGAGAGAAUGUUCAAAUAUGUAUAGAGUAAUUUGAAGGCUUCAAAAACAAUGUUGUAAAGUUAACUCACUCUGUGGUUAGCCACGAAUUGUGUCCUAGAUGACGUUUGUCCUUUGAAAAGUUCUCCAGAACUGGUAUGACCUUGCAAUGUUCAGUUUGAGAUACGUGUGAGCAGGGGAAAGGUAGCGAUGAUACGAUGUUUUAAUGUUCUUAUAAGGUUAAAGAUGGAUAAUCCUCCUAGACUGGAACACAUAAACAGAUUAAGAAUAUAAUCAAACGAAC
Molecule: long non-coding RNA, 288 nt
Filed under: Mytilus galloprovincialis (Mediterranean mussel)
Lineage: Eukaryota; Metazoa; Mollusca; Bivalvia; Mytilida; Mytilidae
Source: RNAcentral